AGUAAUGCUUGGGAAUCUAGCUUAUGGAGGGGGAUAACUACGGGAAACUGUAGCUAAUACCGCGUAGAAUCGAGAGAUGAAAGUGUGGGACCUUCGGGCCACAUACCAUAGGAUGAGCCCAAGUGGGAUUAGGUAGUUGGUGAGGUAAAGGCUCACCAAGCUGACGAUCUCUAGCUGGUCUGAGAGGAUGACCAGCCACACUGGGACUGAGACACGGCCCAG
This 222-nucleotide ribosomal RNA is filed under the name uncultured bacterium. RNAcentral's name for it is "partial 16S ribosomal RNA". It matches the Rfam family "Bacterial small subunit ribosomal RNA", at positions 109 to 334 of the family's 1533-position model. The record is from RNAcentral.